UAGCAGUUUUCAGAAUUUCCUGGCAGUAA
This 29-nucleotide non-coding RNA is filed under the name Rattus norvegicus (Norway rat). The record is from RNAcentral. Lineage: Eukaryota; Metazoa; Chordata; Mammalia; Rodentia; Muridae.